Molecule: long non-coding RNA, 1242 nt
Organism: Alexandromys fortis (reed vole)
Lineage: Eukaryota; Metazoa; Chordata; Mammalia; Rodentia; Cricetidae
Exons: 5
Source: RefSeq, a predicted model, not a curated record
UGCAUUUCUUUCUUUGUGCUAUCGAUUUAGGCUGCGCUCCUGUUGCCCCUGGGCCGGCCCCUUGCAGCGAACCAGCAGCUGAAAUUUAGCCGCCAGGCGAGUCGCAGCGAGGGCUGCGAGCCGGCUUCGCCGGGGUCCGCCGGAGCCGGGAGCCUUGAACAAUCAGAGGGCCAGGACCGUCCCGCCGCCCGGUUCCUUCCCGAACCCAACUCCGUGAGCCUACUGCGCAGGCGCCGGAGAUCCCUGCGGCCUGUUGAGUGGUGCUGAGUUUUUUUUCGGAGCUAGGUUACAGACCCGGACUUCUACCCGGAGGUGCAUUUAAAACAGAUUCCACUCCAGGAGGAGAGACUUUGUGGUAGCCGUUUCUGCUGCUAAUGGCGGCAGGAAAAUAAAGCGCUGAAGCACAGAAGAUGGAGAGAGGAUGAUGACAGCAACCAUUUCCCAUGGAUGCAGAAGGAGAGGAACGCAUCUUCGGCAGAGAUAGGAAACUGCCAUUCAGUGACAUCUUACCCAUGAGCUGAAAUAUCCCCCACCCUCGUCAGCCCGAAGAGCAAUCAGGAUUCCCUGCCCUGUGGGAAGUCCAAGGACCACCCACCUCCAUCCAGGUCUAGUAAGCGUCACUUGAUUAGCCGAGACACUACUUUAGCGUGACCAGUUGGAACGAAUGACCUCAAAGAAUAUGGGUGAAGGUCCUGCCACAGACAAGCCGGAGGACACCGUUUCCGAUAGAUAAGUGGAGAACAAAAUACUUGACUUGUAACUUAGCCUCCGUCAUGGAUAAAUCCAUACCAAGUCCUCAGUGACUACUCCUUCUGACGGGGUGUCACAUUUCACGUUUUUAAAAAUAGCUUCUUUUGCUGACAUGUAAACUGCUUUUACAGAGUGAGCACUUGAUGUGAUUUGCACCUAAGCUUAAAGCCUUCGUUUUACAGAAAUACUCCUACUUCCAAAUAUUACCCUAAAAAUGAAGAAACAAGAGACUAAAUACUGCAACAUCAACUUAAUGACAUGUGGCUACAUUUUAAAUUUUUAAAUCUAAUAGUGAACCAGAAACAUCAAUUUUCUUGUCUUCUUGCAAGCCUUAAAUACACUGUGCCUAGUUCAGGGUUAAGGAGGGGGUUGGAUAUAUGCAGUAACUGCCAGCACUCUGGAUCUUUUUAAGGUGAUCAUAAAGACUAGUUUUUUUUUCUUCAGUGUGUGUAUGCACUUGUGUGUGUGUGUGUGUGUGUGUGUGUGUGUUGU